This 151-nucleotide ribosomal RNA is filed under the name uncultured Bacillus sp. RNAcentral describes it as "partial 16S ribosomal RNA". It matches the Rfam family "Bacterial small subunit ribosomal RNA", at positions 1233 to 1382 of the family's 1533-position model. Lineage: Bacteria; Bacillati; Bacillota; Bacilli; Caryophanales; Bacillaceae. The record is from RNAcentral.
ACCGGGUACAGACGGACGCAAAGCCGCGAGGUGGAGCAAAUCCUAAAAAGCCGGUCUCAGUUCGGAUUGCAGGCUGCAAUUCGCCUGCAUGAAGUCGGAAUCGCUAGUAAUCGCAGGUCAGCAUACUGCGGUGAAUACGUUCCCGGGCCUU